Molecule: ribosomal RNA, 367 nt
Filed under: uncultured organism
Description: partial 16S ribosomal RNA
Rfam family: Bacterial small subunit ribosomal RNA
Source: RNAcentral
GGAGGGUGCAAGCGUUGUCCGGAUUUAUUGGGUUUAAAGGGUGCGUAGGCGGGUGAUUAAGUCAGUGGUGAAAUCCUACGGCUCAACCGUAGAACUGCCAUUGAAACUGAUCAUCUUGAGUAAAGUCGAGGUAUGCGGAAUUUAUGGUGUAGCGGUGAAAUGCAUAGAUACCAUAAAGAACACCAAUAGCGAAGGCAGUAUACUAGGCUUGAACUGACGCUGAGGCACGAAAGCGUGGGGAGCGAACAGGAUUAGAUACCCUGGUAGUCCACGCUGUAAACUAUGAUCACUCGAUGUAUGCGAUAUACAGUAUGCGUCUUAGCGAAAGCGUUAAGUGAUCCACCUGGGGAGUACGUCCGCAAGGAUG